This 5470-nucleotide long non-coding RNA is filed under the name Cyanistes caeruleus (blue tit). RNAcentral describes it as "lncRNA (ENSCCEG00000002616.1)". The record is from RNAcentral. Lineage: Eukaryota; Metazoa; Chordata; Aves; Passeriformes; Paridae.
GUUUUUACUGGUUUUUAUUGGUGUGACGCAGGGGACCCCACGGCUGUGCCCGCCCUCGUGUGUCCCUGCGUGUCCCCCAGGGGUGACCCGGCCUGGCUGUGACCCCGCAGUGCCACCCUGGUCCCCGUCCUGCCAUCCCUGAUGACGCUGACGCGGGCGGGCGCGAUGGGCCUGGAGGGCGCGGUGGCACUUGGCUUGUCCCCAAGGGUGGCACUGCCCGGCCUGUCCCCCGUGGUGGCACCGCCCCGGGAAGGACAGUCCCUGUCAGGGAUGGUGGCGCUGCCACUGAUGGGUGUGUCCGUGACGGGGGGACUGCCAGUGACGUGUCUGUCCCCAAGGGUGACACCGUCCCUGGAUGGGCACUCCCGGAUGGGGACAGUGGCACUGUCCCUGCCUGGCCAGUCCCUGUCACAGAUGGUGGCACUGUCCCUGGAUGGGCACUCCCUGACAGAGGUGGUGGCUCUGUCCCUGCCAGACCAGUCCCCACGAGGGACGGUGGCACUGUCCCCUCCAGACCAAUCCCCUCGAGGGACAGUGACACCGUCCCUGGAUGGGCACUCCCUCUCAGAGGUGGUGGCUCUGUCCCUGGAUGGACACUCCCUGAUGGGGACAGUGGCACUGUCCCUGCCUGGCCAGUCCCCACGAGGGACAGUGACACCGUCCCUGGAUGGGCACUCCCGGAUGGGGACAGUGGCACUGUCCCUGCCUGGCCAGUCCCUGUCAGAGGUGGUGUCACUGUCCCUUGCUGGCCAGUCCCUGUCACAGAUGGUGGCUCUGUCCCUGCCAGACCAGUCCCCACGAGGAAUGGUGGCACUGUUCCCACCAGACCAGUCCCCACGGGGGACAGUGACACCGUCCCUGUCAGAGGUGGUGGCACUGUCCCUGGAUGGGCACACCCUGAUGGGGACAGUGGCACUGUUCCUGCCAGACCAGUCCCCACGAGGAAUGGUGGCACUGUCCCCACCAGACCAAUCCCCACGAGGGACGGUGACACCGUCCCUGCCCGGCCAGCCCGGGAAGGUGACAGUGGCACCGUCCCUGCCGGGGAUGGUGGCACUGCCACAGGCCAGCGUGUCCCCGAGGGUGGCAGGGCCGGGCAGCCUGGAUUCCACGAUGGUGGCGGUGACCCUGGGGAUGGAGUCCCCGACCAGGACGGUGGCACUGACAAAGACGGGCGUGUCCACGAUGGUGGCAGUGCCCCUGGACAGGCUGGCCCUGACGGGGACGGUGACACUGCCCAGGAUCCUCCUGUCCAUCACGGUGCCACUGAGAGUGACCAGCGCAUCCACGAUGGUGGCAGUGCCCCUGGACGGGCAGUCCCUGAUGGGGACGGUGGCACUGCCAGCUGCCGAGCUGUCCCCAGCGGUGUCACCGGCCCAGAACGGGCUGUCCCUGAUGGGGAUGGCGGCACUGGCGGUGACAGGCGUGUCCACGAUGGUGGCAGUGCCCCUGGAUAGGCUGUCCCUGACGGGGACAGUGGCACUGCCAGCAAAUGGCCUGUCCCCUGGAGUGCCACUGUCCCUGGAGGGACGGUCCCUGGCCGGAGGGGUGCCACUGUCAGUGACCAGCCUGUCCCCAACAGUGUCACUGUCAGUGACCAGCCUGUCCCCAACGGUGUCACUCAGAGUGACCAGCCUGUCCCCAAUGGUGCCACUACUACUGACUGGCCUGUCCCCAACAGUGUCACUGUCUGUGACCAGCCUGUCCCCAACGGUGUCACUGUCUGUGACCAGCCUGUCCCCAACGGUGCCACUCCUACUGACUGGCCUGUCCCCAACAAGGACAGUGACACUGGCAGAGACUGGCAUGGCCCUGACAGUGCCACUGCCCCCAGCUGGGCUGUCCCUGACAGGGACAGUGCCACUGCUCCUGUCCCCACUGUCACUGCCCCUGUGUGAUCUGUCCCUGACAGGGACAGUGGCACUGCCACUGCUCCUGUCACCAAAGUCACUGGGCCUGUGCGGCCUGUCCCUGCUGGGCACGGUGGCACUGCCACUGCUCCUGUCCCCACUGUCACUGUCUCUGAGUGGCCUGUCCCUGCUGGGCAGGGUGGCACUGCCACUGCUCCUGUCCUCAGAGCCACUGCCCCUGUGUGACCUGUCCCUGACGGGGACAGUGGCACUGCCCAGUCUGUCCCCACUGUCACUGGGCCUGUGUGGCCUGUCCCUGACAGGGACGGUGGCACUGCCCAGUCUGUCCCCACUGUCACUGGGCCUGUGUGAUCUGUCCCUGACAGGGACGGUGGCACUGCCAGGCCUGUCCCUUGUGGUGGCACUGCCAGGCCUGUCCCCUGUGGUGUCACUGCUCCUGUCCCCAAAGUCACUGGGCCUGUGCGGCCUGUCCCUGCUGGGCACGGUGGCACUGCCAGGCCUGUCCCCUGUGGUGGCACUGCCCAGUCUGUCCCCACUGUCGCUGGGCCUGUGUGGCCUGUCCCUGCUGGGCAUGGUGGCACUGCCAGGCCUGUCCCCUGUGGUGGCACUGCCAGGCCUGUCCCCACUGUCACUGGGCCUGUGUGGCCUGUCCCUGCUGGGCAUGGUGGCACUGCCAGGCCUGUCCCCUGUGGUGGCACUGCCCAGUCUGUCCCCACUGUCGCUGGGCCUGUGUGGCCUGUCCCUGCUGGGCAUGGUGGCGAUGGCCCUGUGCGAUCUGUCCCUGCCUGGCCUGUCCCCUGUGCCACUGUCUCUGGGUGACCUGUCCCUGACAGGGAUGGUGGCACUGCCACUGCUCCUGUCCCCAACGGUGCCACUGUCUCUGGGUGACCUGUCCCUGAUGGAGAUGGUGGCACUGCCUGGUCUGUCCCCAGGGGUGGCACUGCUCCUGUCCCCAAAGGUGCCACUGACUCUGGGUGACCUGUCCCUGAUGGAGAUGGUGGCACUGCCUGACCUGUCCCCAGGGGUGGCACUGCUCCUGUCCCCAGUGGUGCCACUGUCUCUGGGUGACCUGUCCCUGACAGGGAUGGUGGCACUGCCACUGCUCCUGUCCCCAGUGGUGGCACUGUCCCUGCCUGGCCUGUCCCCAAUGGUGGCACUGCUCCUGACUGGCCUGUCCCCAACAGCAGUGGCCCUGGCUGCGCUGUCCCUGACAGGGAUGGUGACACUGGCCCUGCCCUGCCUGUCCCCAGGGGUGCCACUGUCUCUCACUAACCUGUCCCCAGAGGUGACACUGGCCCUGCCCUGCCUGUCCCCAGGGGUGGCACUAUCUCUGGGUGACCUGUCCCUGCCAGGGAUGGUGGCACUGUCUCUGACUGUCCUGUCCCCAGGGGUGGCACUGUCUCUCACUAACCUGUCCCUGCCAGGGAUGGUGACACUGGCCCUGCCCGGCCUGUCCCCAGAGGUGGCACUGGCCUUACUGGGGACAGUGGCACCACUGACCGGGCUGUCCCUGGUGGGGAUGGUGGCACUCCUGGUGACAGGCCUGUCCCCAGGGGUGCCACUGUCCCUGGAUGAAAUGUCCUUACUGGGGACAGUGGCACUGCCCCUGCCUGGCCUGUCCCCAGGGGUGGCACUGCCACUGGAUGGGCUGGCCUUGGCAGGGACAGUGGGGACAGUGGCACUCCUGGUGACCGACCUGUCCCCAGGGGUGGCACUGCCACUGAUGGGCUUGUCCCUGACUGGGAUGGUGGCACUGCCACUGAUGGGCUUGUCCCUGACAGGGACGGUGGCACUGCCACCAGCUGGGCUGUCCCUGGUGGGAAUGGUGGCACUCCUGGUGACAGGCCUGUCCCCAGGGCUGGCACUGCCACUGGAUGGGCUGGCCUUACUGGGGACAGUGGCAGUGCCACCAGCCAAGCUGUCCAUGACAGGGACGGUGGCACUCCUGGUGACAGGCCUGUCCCCAAGAGUGUCACCAUCCCUGGAUGAGCUGUCCUUACUGGGGACAGUGGCACUGCCACCAGCCGAGCUGGCCCUGACAGGGACAGUGGCACUGCCUCGGCCCAGCCUGUCCCCAGUGCCACCAACCCUGGAUGUGCUGUCCCUGGUGGGGACGGUGGCACUCCUGGUGACAGGCCUGUCCCCAGCGUCACUGUCCCUGGAUGAGCUGUCCCUGGUGGGGACGGUGGCACUCCUGGUGACAGGCCUGUCCCCAGAGGUGGCACUGUCUCUGGGUGAGCUGUCCUUACUGGGGACAGUGGCACUGCCACCAGCUGGGCUGUCCCUGACAGGGACAGUGGCACUGCCCCUACCCGGCCUGUCCCCAGAGGUGGCACUGUCCCUGGGUGAGCUGUCCCUGACAAGGACAGUGGCACUCCUGGUGACAGGCCUGUCCCCAGUGUCACUGUCCCUGGGUGAGCUGUCCCUGACAGGGACAGUGGCACUCCUGGUGACAGGCCUGUCCCCAGCAGUGGCACUGAUCCUGGAUGGACUGGCCUUGACAGGGACAGUGGCACUGCCACCAGCUGUGGGGACAGUGGCACUCCUGGUGACAGGCCUGUCCCCAGGGUGGCACUGUCCCUGGGUGAGCUGUCCCUGACAGGGACAGUGGCACUCCUGGUGACAGGCCUGUCCCCAGGGCUGGCACUGCCUUGGGAUGAGCUGUCCUUACUGGUGACAGUGGCACUGCCACCAGCUGGGCUGUCCCUGACAGGGAUGGUGGCACUCCUGAUGACUGUCCUGUCCCCAGUGUCACUGUCCCUGGCCGAGCUGUCCCUGACAGGGAGGGUGGCACUGCCUGUCCUGUCCCCAGGGCUGGCACUGGUGCUGGGUGAGCUGUCACUGACAGGGACGGUGGCACUGCCACUGGACAGGCUGGCCUUGGCGGGGACGGUGGCACUCCUGGUGACAGGCCUGUCCCCAGGGGUGGCACUGCCCAGGGAUGAGCUGUCCUUACUGGGGACAGUGGCACUGCCACCGUCCAGCCUGUCCCCAGUGGUGGCACUGCCACUGGAUGGGCUGUCCCUGACAGGGAUGGUGGCACUCCUGGUGACAGGCCUGUCCCCAGCAGUGGCACUGCCACUGGCUGCAUUGUCCUUGGCAGGGACAGUGGCAGUGCCACCAGCUGGGCUGUCCCUGGCGGGGAUGGUGGCACUCCUGGUGACAGGCCUGUCCCCAGAGGUGGCACUGCCACUGGAUGGGCUGUACCUGACAGGGACGGUGGCACUCCUGGUGACAGGCCUGUCCCCAGCGUCACUGUCCCUGGAUGAGCUGUCCCUGGUGGGGACGGUGGCACUCCUGGUGACAGGCCUGUCCCCAGCAGUGGCACUGCCACUGGCUGCAUUGUCCUUGACAGGGACAGUGGCACUGCCACUUGUCCUUGACAGGGACAGUGGCACUCCUGGUGACAGGCCUGUCCCCAGAGGUGGCACUGCCACUGGACAGGCUGGCCUUGGCAGGGAUGGUGGCACUCCUGGUGACCGGCUUGUCCCUGACAGGGACGGUGGCACUGCCACCAGCCAGACUGUCCCUUAUGGGAAUGGUGGCACUCCUGGUGACAGGCCUGUCCCCAGGGCUGGCACUGCCACUGGAUGGGCUGG